Molecule: ribosomal RNA, 2773 nt
Filed under: Escherichia coli
Lineage: Bacteria; Pseudomonadati; Pseudomonadota; Gammaproteobacteria; Enterobacterales; Enterobacteriaceae
Description: bacterial LSU rRNA
Rfam family: Bacterial large subunit ribosomal RNA
Source: RNAcentral
AGCGUACACGGUGGAUGCCCUGGCAGUCAGAGGCGAUGAAGGACGUGCUAAUCUGCGAUAAGCGUCGGUGAGGUGAUAUGAACCGUUAUAACCGGCGAUUUCCGAAUGGGGAAACCCAGUGUGUUUCGACACACUAUCAUUAACUGAAUCCAUAGGUUAAUGAGGCGAACCGGGGGAACUGAAACAUCUAAGUACCCCGAGGAAAAGAAAUCAACCGAGAUUCCCCCAGUAGCGGCGAGCGAACGGGGAGGAGCCCAGAGCCUGAAUCAGUGUGUGUAUUAGUGGAAGCGUCUGGAAAGGCGCGCGAUACAGGGUGACAGCCCCGUACACAAAAAUGCACAUAUUGUGAGCUCGAUGAGUAGGGCGGGACACGUGGUAUCCUGUCUGAAUAUGGGGGGACCAUCCUCCAAGGCUAAAUACUCCUGACUGACCGAUAGUGAACCAGUACCGUGAGGGAAAGGCGAAAAGAACCCCGGCGAGGGGAGUGAAAAAGAACCUGAAACCGUGUACGUACAAGCAGUGGGAGCCUCUUAAUGGGGUGACUGCGUACCUUUUGUAUAAUGGGUCAGCGACUUAUAUUCUGUAGCAAGGUUAACCGAAUAGGGGAGCCGAAGGGAAACCGAGUCUUAACUGGGCGUUAAGUUGCAGGGUAUAGACCCGAAACCCGGUGAUCUAGCCAUGGGCAGGUUGAAGGUUGGGUAACACUAACUGGAGGACCGAACCGACUAAUGUUGAAAAAUUAGCGGAUGACUUGUGGCUGGGGGUGAAAGGCCAAUCAAACCGGGAGAUAGCUGGUUCUCCCCGAAAGCUAUUUAGGUAGCGCCUCGUGAAUUCAUCUCCGGGGGUAGAGCACUGUUUCGGCAAGGGGGUCAUCCCGACUUACCAACCCGAUGCAAACUGCGAAUACCGGAGAAUGUUAUCACGGGAGACACACGGCGGGUGCUAACGUCCGUCGUGAAGAGGGAAACAACCCAGACCGCCAGCUAAGGUCCCAAAGUCAUGGUUAAGUGGGAAACGAUGUGGGAAGGCCCAGACAGCCAGGAUGUUGGCUUAGAAGCAGCCAUCAUUUAAAGAAAGCGUAAUAGCUCACUGGUCGAGUCGGCCUGCGCGGAAGAUGUAACGGGGCUAAACCAUGCACCGAAGCUGCGGCAGCGACACUAUGUGUUGUUGGGUAGGGGAGCGUUCUGUAAGCCUGUGAAGGUGGCCUGUGAGGGUUGCUGGAGGUAUCAGAAGUGCGAAUGCUGACAUAAGUAACGAUAAAGCGGGUGAAAAGCCCGCUCGCCGGAAGACCAAGGGUUCCUGUCCAACGUUAAUCGGGGCAGGGUGAGUCGACCCCUAAGGCGAGGCCGAAAGGCGUAGUCGAUGGGAAACAGGUUAAUAUUCCUGUACUUGGUGUUACUGCGAAGGGGGGACGGAGAAGGCUAUGUUGGCCGGGCGACGGUUGUCCCGGUUUAAGCGUGUAGGCUGGUUUUCCAGGCAAAUCCGGAAAACCAAGGCUGAGGCGUGAUGACGAGGCACUACGGUGCUGAAGUGACAAAUGCCCUGCUUCCAGGAAAAGCCUCUAAGCAUCAGGUAACAUCAAAUCGUACCCCAAACCGACACAGGUGGUCAGGUAGAGAAUACCAAGGCGCUUGAGAGAACUCGGGUGAAGGAACUAGGCAAAAUGGUGCCGUAACUUCGGGAGAAGGCACGCUGAUAUGUAGGUGAAGCGACUUGCUCGUGGAGCUGAAAUCAGUCGAAGAUACCAGCUGGCUGCAACUGUUUAUUAAAAACACAGCACUGUGCAAACACGAAAGUGGACGUAUACGGUGUGACGCCUGCCCGGUGCCGGAAGGUUAAUUGAUGGGGUUAGCGGUAACGCGAAGCUCUUGAUCGAAGCCCCGGUAAACGGCGGCCGUAACUAUAACGGUCCUAAGGUAGCGAAAUUCCUUGUCGGGUAAGUUCCGACCUGCACGAAUGGCGUAAUGAUGGCCAGGCUGUCUCCACCCGAGACUCAGUGAAAUUGAACUCGCUGUGAAGAUGCAGUGUACCCGCGGCAAGACGGAAAGACCCCGUGAACCUUUACUAUAGCUUGACACUGAACAUUGAGCCUUGAUGUGUAGGAUAGGUGGGAGGCUUUGAAGUGUGGACGCCAGUCUGCAUGGAGCCGACCUUGAAAUACCACCCUUUAAUGUUUGAUGUUCUAACGUUGGCCCGUAAUCCGGGUUGCGGACAGUGUCUGGUGGGUAGUUUGACUGGGGCGGUCUCCUCCUAAAGAGUAACGGAGGAGCACGAAGGUUGGCUAAUCCUGGUCGGACAUCAGGAGGUUAGUGCAAUGGCAUAAGCCAGCUUGACUGCGAGCGUGACGGCGCGAGCAGGUGCGAAAGCAGGUCAUAGUGAUCCGGUGGUUCUGAAUGGAAGGGCCAUCGCUCAACGGAUAAAAGGUACUCCGGGGAUAACAGGCUGAUACCGCCCAAGAGUUCAUAUCGACGGCGGUGUUUGGCACCUCGAUGUCGGCUCAUCACAUCCUGGGGCUGAAGUAGGUCCCAAGGGUAUGGCUGUUCGCCAUUUAAAGUGGUACGCGAGCUGGGUUUAGAACGUCGUGAGACAGUUCGGUCCCUAUCUGCCGUGGGCGCUGGAGAACUGAGGGGGGCUGCUCCUAGUACGAGAGGACCGGAGUGGACGCAUCACUGGUGUUCGGGUUGUCAUGCCAAUGGCACUGCCCGGUAGCUAAAUGCGGAAGAGAUAAGUGCUGAAAGCAUCUAAGCACGAAACUUGCCCCGAGAUGAGUUCU